This 480-nucleotide ribosomal RNA is filed under the name uncultured Pseudonocardia sp. RNAcentral describes it as "bacterial SSU rRNA". It matches the Rfam family "Bacterial small subunit ribosomal RNA", at positions 39 to 520 of the family's 1533-position model. Lineage: Bacteria; Bacillati; Actinomycetota; Actinomycetes; Pseudonocardiales; Pseudonocardiaceae. The record is from RNAcentral.
CGCGGGGUUUAACAAUGGCAGUUCGAGCGGUACUUCCUUCAGGCUACCGACCGGCGAACGGGUGAGUAACACGUGGGUGACCGGCCCCUUACUCUGGGGUAAGCCGGGGAAACUGGGUCUAAUACCUGAUAUGACGGCCUGCUGCAUGGUGGGUGGUGGAAAGUUUUUUCGAUGGGGGAUGGGCCCGCGGCCUAUCAGCUUGUUGGUGGGGUGAUGGCCUACCAAGGCGACUACUGGUACCCGGCCUGACAGGGCGACCAGCCACAUUGGGACUGAAACACGGCCCGGACUCCUACGGAAGGCGGCAGUGGGGAAUAUUGCGCAAUGGGCGAAUGCCUGACACAGCCACGCCGCGUGUGGGAUGAAUGUCUUCGGAUCAUAAACCACUGUCAGAGGGGACAAAGGCCCGACGUUAACUGCCAUCGGGAUUGACGGUACCCUCGGAGGAAGCACCGGCUAACUCUGUGCCAGCUCCCGCGG